This 375-nucleotide unclassified non-coding RNA is filed under the name uncultured Pasteurellaceae bacterium. RNAcentral describes it as "contains 16S-23S intergenic spacer region". Lineage: Bacteria; Pseudomonadati; Pseudomonadota; Gammaproteobacteria; Pasteurellales; Pasteurellaceae. The record is from RNAcentral.
UCCAGUUUAUCACUGGCAGUCUCCUUUGAGUUCCCGACCAAGUCGCUGGCAACAAAGGAUAAGGGUUGCGCUCGUUGCGGGACUUAACCCAACAUUUCACAACACGAGCUGACGACAGCCAUGCAGCACCUGUCUCUAAGUUCCCGAAGGCACAAGCUCAUCUCUGAGCUCUUCUUAGGAUGUCAAGAGUAGGUAAGGUUCUUCGCGUUGCAUCGAAUUAAACCACAUGCUCCACCGCUUGUGCGGGCCCCCGUCAAUUCAUUUGAGUUUUAACCUUGCGGCCGUACUCCCCAGGCGGUCGAUUUAUCACGUUAGCUACGGGCGCCAGAGUUAAACCCCAACCCCCAAAUCGACAGCGUUUACAGCGUGGACUAC